Cyprinus carpio (common carp) is the source of this 1570-nucleotide long non-coding RNA. NCBI's taxonomy places the organism in Eukaryota, Metazoa, Chordata, Actinopteri, Cypriniformes, Cyprinidae. The record is from Ensembl.
UAACACUGGCUUUAUAGGCUACUCAGGCUUGAUGGUGGUCCCAAGUAAAACGAGUGCUCAUUGUGGGGGUUUAAUAAAACCAAUAAAACCAUUUCACUGAACACAGCAGACAGUGCCAGAACACGUAUUUGUCUUCAUUUGUUGUAACAUUGGUGAAAAUUUGAAUUGAACUGAAAUGCAGAUGACCCUGAGAAAUGACAGUGAAAGGAAAUGUUUUUGAGAUAAAUGCUGACAUUGAAGGAGCUAUAAACGUAAAACAUUUGGAAGAAGACAUAAAGCACAUAUGCAACUGGUUUAGCAAGUGAUGUUGUCUUUCAUUCUUUACAAGUCCAUUGUGAAUCUGCCUUUUAUCAAGAUCAUGUCAUACCUCAUCUGUCUCUCUUCCUCCAUGUCUAGAUCAGGUCUAAACACUGAAUUAUGAAAAAGAUGCAGUGUGAACUUAAAGUGUGUGACUCCUCUUUGAUGAUGGGUGUAGUGACAUUUGUUCUACAUUAAGCCGGUGAUAAUCUGAUUAUGGACUGCGAUCCAUUAAGUCUACUGUUAAAAUGCACCGUGCACUAGUUUUGAACUCGAUACAGGGACGAAACUUGAGAGGCACUGUGAAACAUUAAAGGCUCUUUGAUGUAAUAUUUAACCCAUCUGCACUAGAGGGGAGAGCUACAUAAAAUGCGCUUGGGACCGUGGAACCGGGCGAUGUGAGAAAUGGGAUGUGUGAUUCUCUCUUGUCCGGAGUCGUGCAAAAGCAUGAAACAGCAGACUGCGUUGCGACCGUUAGCUCGUCGCACUUUUAUCGGAGCAAUAAAACUAAACCCUUAUUGCCUCGCCGGGGAGUGGAUCCCCCCUUGGAAAAAAUAAAUAAAAAAUACUUUCACCAGACAGCAAACAGGAGGAGCGAGGCCGCUGUCACUCCCUGCGUCAGCAAGCUCUCUCUUUUAACCACACAUUUUUGAACUUCUGAAUGCACACUACAUUUUGGACCGGAUGAUGUUGCAAGUGACUGGUCUCAGUGGGACUUCAGCAAAGCAUUGCUAUUCAGGAAUGCAAUACAGCAAAAGAACCCUCAUAAUCAUCCAGUCCACACACAGCUCAGACUUAGACUGGGCUUAAAGUCUUUUCCCCCUGAUUUUGCCAGGAAAUGUAGUGGCAUGGAUCCACGGUGAGACAAAACACAACCAUGACAUCACUCCAGCCUCAAAAAUCCAAACAGUUCCCUCAUUAGCAUACAUUCCGACCUAAGCAUUGUGAAUAAUAAUGAUUUCUGUCUCCUACAGCAGGCAGUUGGGCUCUGACCACCAACAAACAGCAGCCAAGUAAAAUACCAGUAAAGAGAAUGACGGUGGGUUUGCUCAUGUGCAGGACUUGCCAAAAGGACUCAAGCUAUAAUUUGAAUGAAAAAAUGGUUUUUCAUUCAUAGUGCUGGACAAAGCCACAAAGCAUGGGGAAAGUACGUUGAAAGUCCGAAUGGUGCCGGCUGGGUGAGAAUGCUUAAAAGUUGUUAGCAUUUCUCAUGUUUGGAUUGGUACACUAAACAUUGGUGUCCACAGGAAAAUGUGUAUGCAGAGAAUAUAAG